GGUUCGAUCCUGGGCUCAGAUUGAACGGGCUGGCGGAUGCUUUAUACAUGCAAGUCGAACGGCAGGCACGGACUUCUGGUCUGGUGGCGAGUGGCGAACGGGCAUAGCAGCAGCUGCACUGGAACGUGCCUAUAGCGGGGAUAACUACGCGAAAGGUAGCUAAUACCGCAUACGCCCUCGGGGGAAAGCGGGGACCUUCGGGCCUCGCACCAUGAGCGGGCCGACAUCGGAUUAAACGGCCUGCUGGUGGGGUAACGGCUCACUACAGGCGACGAUCCGGUAGCUGGUUUGAGAGGACGACCAGCCACACUGGGACUGAGACACGGCCCAGACUCCUACGGAGGCAGCAGUGGGAAUUUUGACAAUGGGGAAACCCUGAUCCAGCCAAUCCCGCGUGUGCGAUGAAGGCCUUCGGGGUUGUAAAGCACUUUUGGCAGGAAAGAAACGGCACGGGAUAAUACCCCGUGCAACUGGACGGUACCUGCAGAAUAAGCACCGGUUAACUACGCGCCAGCAGCCGCGGUAAUACGUAGGGUGCGGGGGCUGUUAAUCGGAAUGCAUUGGGCGUGUAAAGGUGGCGCAGGCGGUUCGGAAAGAAAGAUGGGAAUCCCAGAGCUUAACUUUGGAACUGCAUUUUUAACUACCGAGCUAGAGUGUGUCAGAGGGAGGUGGAAUUCCGCGUGUAGCAGUGAAAUGCGUAGAUAUGCAGAGGAACACCGAUGGCGAAGGCAGCCUCCUGGGAUAACACUGACGCUCAUGCACGAAAGCGUAUGGGGAGCAAACAGAUUAGAUACCCUGGUAGUCCACGCCCUAAACGAUGUCAACUAGCUGUUGGGGCCUUCGGGCCUGGUAGCGCAGCUAACGCGUGAAGUUGACCGCCUGGGGAGUACGGUCGCAAGAUUAAACUCAAAGGAAUUGACGGGGAUCCGUACAAGCGGUGGAUGAUGUGGAUUAAUCUGAUGCAACGCGAAAACCUUUACCUACCCUUGAGGCCUGGAAUCCCGAAGAGAUUUGGGAGGCCUGCAAGAGAACCGGAACACAGGUGCUGUGCCGGUUGUCACGUCAGCUCGUGUCGUGAGAUGUUGGGUUAAGUCCCGCAACGAGCGCAACCUUUGUCAUUAGUUGCUACGAAAGGGCACUCUCAUCGAGACGUUGGUGACAAAAUCAGAAGGUGGGGAUGACGUCAAGUCCUCAUGGCCCUUAUGGGGUAGGGCUUCACACGUCAUACAAUGGUCGGGACAGAGGGUCGCCAACCCGCGAGGGGGAGCUAACUUGCGAAACCCGAUCGUAGUCCGGAUCGCAGUCUGCAACUCGACUGCGUGAAGUCGGAAUCGCUAGUAAUCGCGGAUCAGCAUGUCGCGGUGAAUACGUUCCCGGGUCUUGUACACACCGCCCGUCACACCAUGGGAGUGGGUUUUACCAGAAGUAGUUAGCCUAACCGUAAGGAGGGCGAUUACCAUUGCAGGAUUCAUGACUGGGGUGAAGUCGUAACAAGGUAAC
This 1500-nucleotide ribosomal RNA is filed under the name uncultured Bordetella sp. RNAcentral's name for it is "partial 16S-23S ribosomal RNA intergenic spacer". It matches the Rfam family "Bacterial small subunit ribosomal RNA". Lineage: Bacteria; Pseudomonadati; Pseudomonadota; Betaproteobacteria; Burkholderiales; Alcaligenaceae. The record is from RNAcentral.